RNAcentral lists this ribosomal RNA (477 nucleotides) under uncultured bacterium. Its description in RNAcentral is "partial 16S ribosomal RNA". It matches the Rfam family "Bacterial small subunit ribosomal RNA", at positions 30 to 507 of the family's 1533-position model. The record is from RNAcentral.
AUUGAACGCUGGCGGCAUGCCUUACACAUGCAAGUCGAACGGUAACAGGUUAAGCUGACGAGUGGCGAACGGGUGAGUAAUGUAUCGGAACGUGCCCAGUCGUGGGGGAUAACUGCUCGAAAGAGCAGCUAAUACCGCAUACGACCUGAGGGUGAAAGCGGGGGAUCGCAAGACCUCGCGCGAUUGGAGCGGCCGAUAUCAGAUUAGGUAGUUGGUGAGGUAAAGGCUCACCAAGCCGACGAUCUGUAGCUGGUCUGAGAGGACGACCAGCCACACUGGGAGUUAGACACGGCCCAGACUCCUACGGGAGGCAGCAGUGGGGAAUUUUGGACAAUGGGCGCAAGCCUGAUCCAGCCAUGCCGCGUGCGGGAAGAAGGCCUUCGGGUUGUAAACCGCUUUUGUCAGGGAAGAAAAGGUUCUGGCUAAUACCUGGGACUCAUGACGGUACCUGAAGAAUAAGCACCGGCUAACUACGUG